CGCCCCGCCUCCUGCUCGCGCGUCGCGGGAAGCCGCCCCACAACUGUUGUGCGCUUCUGGCCCGCUGCCGGCCAGAUCCGUCGCGUCGCUCCGGUUAGUGAGUCAGGCCGUCACCGCCCCCUCUGAUACCUUCACCUCAUCGUGCCUCAUCCUCUCCCUCGUCUUCUUGUGUCCAUGGCGUCGCCGCUCCUUCCUCGCAUUGAGGCCUUGCAGUCACAGGGAGCUCUUGCAGCCGCCGGUCGUGGUCGACCCAAGCGUCGCUUCUCUGUUCCCCUCGCCUCGAGCCGCUGGUUGCCCGAGGAUCCGCCGCCACUUGCUGUUGUAGCCGAUGUUGCGCCGUUCCCCUGUGUCCGUGAGGUCCUACACUGACUCCCUUACGUGCUUCUUCGAGCAUGAGCUCUUCUGCCUCAGAGCUCUUUCGCAGCCACCACUAUCGGUUCCCUACUCCAUCCCUUGGUCGUGUUUUGGCUCUGGUGGGACCUCUUGUGGCCGCCAUCAAGUUAUUGUUGGUUGGGACGUUGAUGUUGCCAGCACCUAAUGCAACUAACGCUUCCUGACCAUCGCUUUCCAAGUGACGUCCACGAUGGCCCCAUGUGUUUAUGAAGCGUGUUCAACUAUCGUCGCCUUCGAUCCGCUUGAGUACCACUACGCCAAGUGUAUGACUACCAUUGACAAGAUUGUGAGUACCACAACUUCCGCGACAUCCACGACGACUCAUGUACAUCUACACCGCAACGACUCGAUCCGCUCCAAGAUGCACGCUUCGAAGGUAUAACCGCCGAGACGAUACUCGUAGACCGAAUGCAUUGUCGUGUGAGGUGCGAUGUUGUCCGUUUCGUAGAUGCCAUGUCAGUUGCACGUUGUCCCUCUUUUGUCGUGCCCUGCCACAUGGGAACCUGCCAACCGGGAUCACCCCAUCAUUCUUGGCAUGACACGCACACGCUCCCAAUUCGUUAGCACCGGUAUCUCGUCGAGCUAACGGGACUGGAACAGUGUCGUAGUAUCAUUUCCGUUUUGUCGCCAUGGUUCCCUUUCGUUCGCCAUGGCGACACAUGCUUCAUAUCCUUCUUGCCAGUGUUCUCAUAAAAUAACAUGCAUGUUGCAUUCAUGGCAUAAUAUUCUGUGUUGCACGUAUCUUUUAACCGUAGCUCCGUUCAAUGUUCUUAAGUGUUAACCGACUAGAAUGACAUGUACAAUCACAUGCUUCACCUCUUGCCAUGUUUAAACAACAUUUAAUAUUGUCGUGUACCUAAACAGGAAUGAACUAAAUAAUUCAUAUGUGGAGUUUCGUCAGUAUGCAACUCGUUGCAUAUUGAGCUUCACUUAAUGUGUAGUGAUUGAUUGUUGUGAAUUGACAUGACAUGCCUUGCAUAAUUGAAAUGGACAUGCAUCAUAAUUGGUUGUGCAUCAUAUCAUGCAUGUGCCAUUGUGAAUAUCGUGUGUUGAUUCUUGUUUUCAGUUUGCUUCUUCUCGUUAGGGUUCCACAAGUGUGUCAAAAUGUGAGGAUUCUUUUGUUGGAAAUAUGCCCUAGAGGCAAUGAUAAAUAGUUAUUAUUAUAUUUCCUGUUUAAAUAUAAUCGUUUAUUAUCCAUGCUAUAAUUGUAUUGAAUGAAAACAUAGAUACAUGUGUGGAUACAUAGACAAAACAAUGUCCUUAGCAAGCCUCUAGUUGGAUAGCCAGUUGAUCAAUGAUAGUCAAGCUUUUCUGACUAUGUGCAAGCGUUGUCACUUGAUAACUGGAUCACAUCAUUAGGAGAAUCAUGUGAUGGACUAGACCCAGACUAUGAACAUAGCAUAUUGAUCGUGUCGUUUUAUUGCUACUGUUUUCUACGUGUCAAGUAUUUGUUCCUAUGACCAUGAGAUCAUAUAACUCACUAGCACCGGAGGAAUACCUUGUGUGCAUCAAACAUCACAGCGUAACUGGGUGACUAUAAAGGUGCUCUACAGGUAUCUCCGAACGUUUCCGUUUAGUUAGUAUGGAUCAAGACUGGGAUUUGUCACUCCGUGUGACGCAGAGGUAUCUCAGGGCCCACUCGGUAAUACAACAUCACACACAAGCCUUGCAAGCAAUGUGACUAAGUAUAAGUCACGGGAUCUUGUAUUACGGAACGAGUAAAGAGACUUGCCGGUAACGAGAUUGAAAUAGGUAUGCGGAUACCGACGAUCGAAUCUCGGGCAAGUAACAUACCAAAGGACAAAGGGAAUGACAUACGGGAUUAUAUGAAUCCUUGGCACUGAGGUUCAACCGAUAAGAUCUUUGGAGAAUAUGUGGAAUCCAAUAUGGGCAUCCAAGUCCCGCUAUUGGAUAUUGACCGAGGAGUGCCUCGGGUCAUGUCUACAUAGUUCUCGAACCCGCAGGGUUUGCAAACUUAAGAUUCGAUGAUGUUUUAGUAUAGUUGAGUUAUAUGUGUGGUUACCGAAUGUUGUUCGGAGUCCCGUAUGAGAUCAUGUACAUCACGAGGGUUUCCGGAAUGGUCCGGAAACGAAGAUUGAUAUAUAGGAUAGUUUCAUUUGGUCACCAGAAAGUUUCGGGCAAUUCCGGCAGUGUACCGGGAGUGAUGAAUGGGUUCCGGGUGUUUUACCGGGAGGGCCCCACCCACCCGAGAGUGAUCCCAAGGCCCUAGGGUGGCGCACCAAGUCCUUAUUGGGCUGGUGGAGUCAUCCCAAGAGGGCUAUGGUGCCACAUAAGAAAAUACCAAAAGAAAAGAAGAAAAAAAGGAAAGAGGGAGGUGAGAAGGAAGAGGAGGACUCCUCCUUCCCAAACCGAAUUGGAAGAGGAGUCCUCCUCCUCCUGGCGGCCGACGCACCUUGAUGCCCUUGUGCCUCAAGUCUAGCCCCUCCCCUCCUCCUAUAUAUAUUGGUGGUUUAGGGAUUUUUGAGACACAACUUUGCCACGUGCAACUCAAGGCUAUUCCACAUAGUUUUACCUCUAGAUCGGAUUUCUGCGGAGCUCGGGUGGAGCCCUGUAGGAGUAGAUCGUCACCACCACCGGAGCAUCGACACGCUGCCGGAGAACUCAUCUACAUCUCUGUCUUGCUUGCUGGAUCAAGAAGGCCGAGAUCAUCGUCGAGCUGUACGUGUGCUGAACGCGGAGGUGUCGUCCGUUCGGCACUAGAUCGGAACCGUUCGAGGGACAGAUCGUGGGACAACGGUGAUUGGAAUCACAAAGCUGUACCACUAUGUCAACCGCGUUUCUUAACGCUUACCGCUGUGCGAUCUACAAGGGUACGUAGAUCUAAUAUCCUCUCGUAGAUGGACAUCACCAUGAUAGGUCUUCGUGUGCGUAGGAAAUUUUUUGUCUCCCAUGUAACGUUCCCCAACAUCUUUCGACUAUGUCGGUUCGUCUGCUUCACAGAUUCGUUCUUCUUCCAAGCGGGGUCACAGGCAAGAUGAUCAUUUCCCUAGAUACCAUUACUAUCAAUGCCAUGCUAGUUGUCUCAUUUCUUUCGUUAUGUCUCGCUGCCUACCACUUAAAUGUCAGCCUCCCAAUAUUGCCAUGAAAAACCUCUAACCUUUCCACAACCCAGCAGAUCACUGUUUUGCUAUGUUACCACUUGCUCAACCUUUUGAUAGCGUUGCUAGUUGCAGGUGCAGUUGCUUCCAUGUGAAACAUGGGUUCCUUGUUAUAUCAUCAUAUUAUUGCUAAUUAUUUAAUGCACCUAUAUACUUGGUAAAAGGUGGAAGGCUUGGCCUUCUAGCCUGGUGUUCUGUUCCACCUUUGUCGCCUUAGUUUCGGCUACCGGUGUUAUGUUCCAUAAAUGAGCGCUCCUAACAUGCUUGGGGUUGUUAUGGGGACCCCCUUGACUUUCGUUUUGAGAUAAAACUCGUCUGGCAAGGCCAAACAUUGUUACUAUAUUUUCCCAACAUAAUAAUACUGAAAAACAUAGGGUGUCAUGAACCCGAGGACUAAUUCAAUAUAAUACAGGGAGGGCCAAUGUUGAUGGUGCUGGUCCUAAACAGAGAAUUGUGUGGGGCGAACCCGGGGCAACUAGGGAGAUUUCUAUCAGGACACUAUACGCCUCGCUCAUCCGUCGUGUCCCGAGAACGAGAUACGCGGCUCCUAUCGGGAUCGUCAACACGUCGGGCGGCCUUGCUGGACUUGUUUUACCUUUCUCGAGCAUCUCGUGCGUGGGAUUCCGAGGAUACUUUGGUCUAUCUCGAGGUUGAGGUUUUCCAAUAGGACCCCGAGGAGAUCACAUGUUCUCCCUGAUCGAGGUCAUUUCGGCGGAGCGUGUGGUAGUUUGUGAUGGACUAAUUGGAGCACCCCUACAGGGUUAAAUCUUUCGGAAAGCCGUGCCCACGGUUAUGUGGCAAACUUGGAAACUUUGUUUAACAUCCUAUUCUAGAUAACUUGAAGUAAACUUAAGUAAAAUAUGCCAACUGUGUGUGUAACCGUGACUGUCUCCUCUCGUCAGUUCUGUAUCCAGAAGAGGACACAAUGGGGUUAUGUCUAACGUAAGUAGGUUUUCAGGAUCAUUCAUUUGAUCAUCAGUAGUUCAUGUCCUAUAUCCGUGGAUCAUCCCCCCUUUUAUUCUUAUACUUUUAAGUUAGCCACCUCAAAUAAAUGCUUAGUCGCUUGCUGCAGCCUCACCACUUAACCAUACCUCACCCAUUAAGCUUUGCUAGUCUUGAUACCUUUGGAAAUGAGAUUGUUGAGUCCCUGUGGCUCACAGAUUACUACAACACCAGUUGCAGGUACACGUAAAGCGAUACUCUAACGUGAGCGCGAUGAUUGUUCUAUUUGGAGUUUCUUAUUCUUCUUCUUCAAUGAUAUAGGAUGGGUUCCAGGCUGGCAGCCCGGGAUAGCAAGGAUGGACGUCGUUCUUUUAUUGUUUAUUUUCGUCCGUAGUUGGACCCUGCUCUUCUUCAUGAUGAUUGAUUAUGUUGUUGUACUGAUGUGAACUUGAUGUAGCUUGUGGCGAGUGUAAGCCAAUUCCACAUACUUAUUUUUUCAGUACAUGUACUUGUAACAAUAUCCAUUCUUGCAAAACGACGAGAUGCGCUUCUAUCCCUGUCGAAGGCCCUCACGCCAAAAUAAGGAUAGGAUCACACCUUGGGCGUUACACUAGGCAUAUUACAUAGUUUCAAGUGUUGUCAUCUUUGCAGGAAUGACCCAUCAUGCUAUAAUCAUAUUCCCUCCUUUCAUUAGCAAGUUUUCUUAUAGGUAAGAAAAAAUAAUUGAAGGUACUAAAUAGCACAAUAGUAGGAUCCGAAAGGUGUGCCUUGGGAGGAACAUGAGGUUCUUCUUUAGGUUUUUCAUAAGUGAUAGUUAGCUCCUCAUUGUAUAAGUUCCGAUAGAGGUAUUUUAUUAAUUUUAUUUCAAGAUCAUAACCCAAUACAAGUUUUGGUAUAGCAAAUUGAUCCUUGUGUUUAGAAAUCUUAUGAACUAAUAUAUUAAGUGGAACCUUCUUUCUAAGAUUCUCAUCAUAAGCAACAUAGUGUGUGGAUCUUAGUUUUCUUAUUUCUUCCUACUCAUAAAGAAUCCCCUCUAUGUGUGGGCACUUAACAUUAACCCUAUAAUGAGAAAAUAUAUUUCUAGCUUCUUGUAUGAUAUUACUAAAUUCUUGACAAAUAAAUAUAGUAGCUAGACGUUUGGUGGAAGCUUCAUUGAUAUUAGAGAAUUCUAGAAACAACCAUUGCAUGAAAGGAUGCAUGUGCACUAAUUGUCUUUCCAAUUAUACUAUAAGCAAAGAUACAGCAUCCGCAUAACUUGUAGUUCUAGCAACACUAGAACCCCCUAUCAAUGGUAAUGAUCAUGCACAAGUGGAAAAAUCUUGAAUCACUCUUACCAAUAAUAUUACAACUACCUAUGCGGAAUUUCUUAGUCUCCAUAAUAGGUUCUACCUUAGAACGAUCAUCAUCCGCAAGAUUAUCAAGUUUUUAAUUAACAACUUCAUCAAAAUUUCUUUUAGCAUUCUCAUCACAAGGUGAAGUUGGAAAAAUCUAGGACUUACGCACUAGAGGCGGAGGCAUCACUAACUUAAAACUGAGACAUGAUAGCAACUUUCAAGCAAACUAGAGAGCGAAGAUGCAAACUAGUGACAAGCUAAGCAAGGAAAGGUAAAUAUUCUGAAUUUUUUAUGAGACAAAAUAAAUAUACCAUAAAAUAAAAAGGAUAACAAGUGAAUGAAAAUUUGUGUGAAGUUACUUGGUAGUUGGUGAUGAUAUUCCCUGACAAUGGUGCCAGAAAUCCUUCCUGAUACUUGUGAUCUGCAUUGGGUUUUCUGUGAAGAGGAACGGGUUAUCGCAACACAAUGUGGGUAAGUAUUUCCCUCAAUUAUGAAAGCAAGGUUUAUCGAAACAAUAGGAAUAUCAACCACAACCGUAUUCAACGGCUGCACACAAAAGAACAAACAACUUGCAUCCAGCGCGGGCAAGAGGGUUGUCAAUCCCCUCGAUCUUGAUAUUUGCAAGCAAGUGAGGUGUGUAGAUAAUUGUAAAUUGCAAAAUAAAAUGAAAACAAGUAAAUGGAAGCAAGGUAUUGAAGGUUUUGUAAAUAUAUGAUGAAUAGACCCAGGGCCCAUAGUUUUACCUAAUGGUAUCUCUCACUUAAAAUAGCAUAUGGUGGGUAAACAAAUUAUUGUUGGGCAAUUGACAAAAAAGCACAUAGUUAUGCGAUAUUCACAACAAUAAUCAUGUGUAUAUAGGCAUCACGUCCAUAAACAACUAGUCCAACUCCUCCCUGCACCUAUUACUAUUACUCCACUCAUCGACCGCUAUCUAGCAUGCAUCUAGAAUAUUAAGUAAAACAGAGUAAUGCAUGGAGAAUGAUGACAUGAUGUAGAAAAAGUAAACUCAAGCAAUAUAAAUAAACCCCAUCGUGUUAUCUUAAGUAGAAACAACACAAAGAUGCAUCUUGUCCUCUUCUAUCACUGGGAUAUACAAAUUUGCCAGGUUGAACCUACUACAACGCACCUCUCUCACCGAAGAAAUAUCAAUCUAGUUGGCCAAACUAUUGCAAUAGAUUGGAGAAAAUUACGAAGCUAUCAUAAUCAUGGACAUUGCUACCCCUUGAGCUUGCGUUGGUUUUCCCUUGAAGAGGAAAGUGUGAUGCAACGAAGUAGAUAAGUAUUUCCCUCGGUUUGUUGAGAACCAAGGUAUCAAUCCAGUAGGAGGAACAAACAAGGCCCCAAUCGUAGUACCUACACAAAGAAUCAAACUCUUGCACCCAACGCUAAAAAGGGGUUCUCAAUCCUUUCUGAGUUAUUUUCAAGGAUGAGACAUGAUAGAUAUAGAUAUAAAGAUUGCGUAAACAAAAGUAAAUAAAUUGCAGCAAGCUAUUAUUGGUAUUUUUGGUUUAUAGAUCUGAAAGUAUAAUAUGGAAAAUAGACUUGGGGGCCAUAGGUUUCACUAGAGGUUUCUCUCAUAAAGGAAAUAAUAUGGUGGGUGAACAAUGUAUUGUUGAGAAAUUGAUAGAAAAGCGAAUAAUUAUGAAUAUAUCUAAGGCAAGGACUAUGCAUAUAGGCAUCAUGUCUGUGUCAAGUAGACCGAAACGAUUCCGCAUCUACUACUAUUACUCCACACAUCGACCGACUCCUGCCUGCAUCUAGAGUAUUAAGUUCAUGAAAAACAGAGUAAGACAUUAACUAAGAUGACAUGAUGUAGAGGGAUAAACUCAAGCAAUAUGAUGAAAACCCCAUCUUUUUAUCGUCGAUGGCAACAAUACAAUAUGUGCCUCGCUACUCCUACUUUGUCACAGGGUGAGGACACCGCAAGAUUGAACCCAAAACUAAGCACUUCUCCCAUUGCAAGAAUUACCAAUCUAGUUGGUCAAAGGUGAGGACAUCGAAGGGAUUUGCUAAGAUGUGAAAUCAUGCAUAUAAGAAUUCAGAGGAGAUUCAAAUAAUAUUCAUAGAUAAUCUGAACAUAAACUCACAAUUCAUCGGAUCUCAACAAACACACCGCAAAAGAGUAUUACAUUGAAUAGAUCUCCAUGAAGAUCAUGAAGAACAUGGUAUUGAAGAUCAAAGAGAGAGAAGAAGUCAUCUAGCUACUAUCUAUGGACCCGUAGGUCUAUCGUGAAGUACUCACGCAUCAUCGGAGGGGCAAAGGAGUUGAUGUAGAUGCCCUCUGUGAUCAAUUCCCUCUCCGACAGAUCAACGAAAAAGGCUCCCAUAUUGGAUAUCACUGGAACAGAGGCUCCCGGCGGCGGAAAAGUAUUUUGUGUCUCUUUUUAGCGAUGGGGAAUAUUUGGGAAUUUAUAGGCCAAAGAAUAGGGUUAGUAGGCCUGCGGGGGACCCACAAGCCAAGGGGCGCGGCCAACCCCCUAGGGCAUGCCCUGCAGGCUUGUGGCCUUUCGGCACGUGCCCUGCCCUCUAUUACAAGUCUCCUCGGUUUCUUUUGGUCCAAGAAAAAUCUUUUUGGAUAUUUUGUUCCGUUUGGACUCCUUUUAAUAUUCCUUAUCUGGAAUACUCAAAAACAUGGAAAAAACAGAAAUUGACACUAGGCUCUAGAGUAAUAGGUUAGUCCCAAAAAUAAUAUAAAAUAGCAUAUUAAUGCAUAUAAAAUAUCCAAAAUAGAUAAUAUAAUAGCAUGGAACAAUCAAAAAUUAUAGAUACGUUAGAGACAUAUCAAGCAUCCCCAAGCUUAAUUCCUCCUCGUCCUCGAGUAGGUAAAUGAAGAAAACAGAAUUUUUGAUGUGGAAUGCUACCUAACAUAUUUAUCCAUGUAAUAUUCUCUAUUGUGGCAUGAAUAUUCAGAUCCAUAAGAUUCAAAACAAAAGUCUAAUAUUGACAUAAAAACAAUAAUACUUCAAGCAUACUAAUAAGGCAAUUGCUUCCGUUCAAAAUAACAUGGUCUUAGAAAGUUAUCCCUACAAAAUCAUAUGGUCUGGCUAUGCUCCAUCUUCACCACACAAAGUAUCUAAAUCAUGCACAACCCCGAUGAAAAUCGAGCAAUUGUUUCACACUUUUUAUGUUCUCAAACCUUUUCAACUCCCACGCAAUACAUGAGCGUGAGCCAUGGAUAUAGCACUAUAGGUGGAAUAGAGUAUGGUGGAGGUUGCAAAAAAAGGAGAAGAUAGUCUCACAUCAACUAGGCAUAUCAAUGGGCUAUGGAGUUCCCAUCAAUAGAUAUAUCAAUGUGAGUGAGUAGGAAUUGCCAUGCAACAAAUGCACUAGAGCUAUAAGUGUAUGAAAGCUCAAAAAGGAAACUAAGUGGUUGUGCAAAAGAUGUAAUUCCACUAGUUAUAUGAAAGUGACAAAAUAGGAGACUCUCUAUGAAGAACAUGGUGCUACUUUGGAGCACAAGUGUGGAAAAAUAUAAUAGCAUACUAGAAUUGUCCCUUUUGUCUUUCUCUCAUUUUUUCUUUUUUUGGAUGGGCUUCUUUGGCCUCUUUUAUUUUUUUAUGGGUUUCACUGGCCUCUUUUAUUUUUUGUAAACUCCGGAGACUCAUCCCAACUUGUGAGGGAAUCAUAGCUUCCAUCAUCCUUUUAUCACACGGGACAAUGCUCUAAUAAUGCAAAUCAUCACACUUUUAUUUUACUUACACCUCAAAGAUUACAACUCGAUAUCUAGAACAAAAUAUGACUCUAUAAGCAAUAUGGAAGUGAUGGUGCGUAUCAUAAAAAUGAGACGGCGGUGUUCCAUGGCAAUAUAUCUCGGAAUGGCUAUGAAAAUGCCAUAAUAGGUAGAUAUGGUGGCUGUUUUGAGGAAAAUAUAUGGUGGCUGUUUUGAGGAAGGUGGCUUUAAUGUACCGGCGAGAGUUGCGCGGUACUAGAGAGGCUAGCAAAAGUGGAUGGGUGAGAGUGCGUAUAAUCCAUGAACUCAACAUUAGUCAUAAAGAAGUCACAUACUUAUUGCAAAAGCCUAUUAAUUAUCGAAGCAAAGUAUUAUACGCAUGCUCCUAGGGGAAGGGUUGGUAGGAGUUAACCAUCGCGCGAUCCCGACCUCCACACAAAGGUUGACAAUCAUUAAACAAAUCAUGCUCCGACUUCAUCACAUAACGGUUCACCAUACGUGCAUGCUACGGGAAUCACAAGCUUGAACAAAAGUAUUUCUUCUAAUUCACAAUUACUUACUAGCAUGACUCUCAUAUUACCAUGUUCAUAUCUCAAAACUAUAUGCAAGAAUCAAACUUCUCGUCAUAUUCAAUGCAUUUAAUAUGAAAGUUUAUUAUAUCCCUCUUGGAUGCCCAUUAUAUUAGGACUAAAUUCAUAACCUAAACCAAUUACCAUGUUGUUUAAAGAACUCUCAAAAUAAUAUAAGUGAGGCACGAGAGUUUAAUAAUUUCCAUAAAACACCACACCGCCGUGCUCUAAAAGAUAUAAGUGAAUCACUAGAGCAACAUUGCCUAGCUCAAAAGAUAUAAGUGAAGCACAAAGAGUAUUCUAAUAAAUUCUCGUUUUAGCGUGUCUCUCUCAAACAAUGUGUGCAGCAAGGAUGAUUGUGUCAAACUAAAAAGUAAAGACUCGUAUUAUACAAGACGCUCCAAGCAAAACACAUAUCAUGUGGUGAAUAAAAAUAUAGCCUCAAGUAAAUUUACCGAUGGAUUGAAGACGAAAGAGGGGAUGCCUUCCGGGGCAUCCACAAGCUUACGCUCUUUGGUAUCCUUGAAUAUGGCUUGGGUUGCCUUGGGCAUCCUCAAGCUUAGGCUCUUGCCAGUCCUUAUUCCGUAGUCCAUCAAAUCUUUACCCAAAACUUGGAAACUUCACAACACAAAACUCAAGAGAAAACUCAUGAGAUCCGUUAGUAUAAGAGAAAUAAAUCACCACUUUAGGUACUGUUGUGAACUCAUUCUUUAUUUAUAUUGAUGUAAUAUUUACUGUAUUCCAACUUCUCCAUGGUUCAUACCCCCCGAUACAACCCAUAGAUUCAUCAAAAUAAGCAAACAACACAAAGAAAACAGAAUCUGUCAAAAACAGAACAGUCUAUAGUAAUCUGUUUACUUAGAAUACUUAUAUAACUCCAAAAAUUAUGAAAUAUUAGGAAUAUUUGGGUCAUUUGUAAAUCAAUCAUGUGUAAAAAAUUCAGAUCAAAAUCACGUUCCAGUGAAUUUUCAAAAUUCCUGGACUGAGAGCAAAAGUUUCUGUUUUUCAGCAAAAUCAACUUGCAAACACCGUAGAUCAUCCCAAAGGUCUUACUUGGCUCAAACACUAAAUAAAACAAGAGAACACAAUUAUUACAGAGGUGAUAAUGUGUGAAGCACUCAAAAACAGAAGCAAAAACAAAAGUAUAAAUAUAAAAUUGGGUUGCCUCCCAACAAACACUAUUGUUUAACGCCCCUAGCUAGGCAUAAUGCGAUAGAUCUAGGUAUUGUCAUAAUAGUAGGGGAGAACAUCAAUGCUCUUAUCAUACUCCCUUAUUUCAGCAGAAAGUUUCCUUUGUGGCAAGAAAAAGUAAUAAAAAGUGCUAAAUUCAAUAGGAUAAGGAUCGUUAAGAUCAAGUGCGGGAGGAAUAGGUUCCUCCUUCGGCCCUCUGUAGUGUAUGAUCAAUAAAUCAUUGUAGGCUUUCCUCUAGUGGAAGGUCAUAAGUCUAUCUGUUAGUAUGAACUCUAAUCAAUUAUUUUGUAUAGAAAAAUCAUCACUGAGUUCAAAAAUCUUAUCAACCAAAACCUCAAUAGGAACCCAUUUUCUCAAAAUUUUAUUAUAAGCAACAUAAUCCGGAGACUGCAAUCUCAUUAUUUCUUCUUGAUUAAAUAGGGUCUCCUCAAUGGGGGGACAUCCGCCAUUAAUUUUAUAAUGAGAAAAAAUUUCACUACCCUCUUUCGUGAAUCUUAACUCGUGAGCUAGAAAUAUAGUGGCGACAUGCUUAACGGAAGCAAGCUGAAUAUUAGAGAACUGAAGAAAAAUCCUUUGUAUGCAAGGAUGCAUAUGAAAAAAUUGUCUCUCAAGUUCAAUUAUUAAUAGUGUUAUGGAAUCUGCAAGACUAUUAGUUUUAUUUAGGAUAGACCUUCCUAAAGUAGGCAGCAUACCCGCACAAGUAAAGAAAUCUUGAAUAACACCUUUUCCAAUAAUAUUGCCGCUACCUAUGAGGAGUUUUUUUUUGUAUGCAUGAUAGUAGGUUCUCUGUGAUCAUUAUCUUCAAGAUUAUUACUAUCCGUUUCAAUGUAAACCUCCGAGUCCCAGGAUUCAGACAGGUGGUAAUGAAUAUAUCUAGCACACAAGCAAGCAAACGAAAAGACGAACGAAAAAAGGGCGAAUAAAAAGGCAAAUCUUUUUGGUAUUUUCUAAAAAUUGUUUUAGAAGUGGGGCAGAGGAAAACGAGAGGCAAAUGGCAAAUAAAGUAAAUGCAAUAGAUAAGUUUGUGAUGGGUACUUCGUAGGUUUGAACUUGCUAUGUAUCCUCCCCGGCAACGGCGCCCGAAAUCCUUCUUGCUACCUCUUGAGUUUGCGUUGGUUUUCCCUUAAAGAGGAAAGGGUGAUGCAGCGAAGUAGAUAAGUAUUUCCCUCAGUUUGUUGAGAACCAAGGUAUCAAUCCAGUAGGAGGAACAAGCAAGGCCUCAAUCGUAGUACCUACACAAAUAAUCAAACUCUUGUACCCAACGCUAAAAAGAGGUUGUCAAUCCCUUCAGAGUUAUUUGCAAGGAUGAGAUCUGAUAGAGAUAUAUAAAAAGAUUGUGGAAACAAAAGUAGAUAAAUUGCAGCAAGAUAUUCUGGGUAUUUUUGGUUUAUACAUCUGAAAGUAUAAUAUGGAAAAUACACCCGGAGGCCAUAGGUUUCACUAGAGGCUUCUCUCAUAAAGGAAAAUAAUAUGGUGGGUAAACAAAUUAUUGUCGAUCAAUUGAUAGAAAAGCGAAUAAUUAUGAAGAUAUCUAAGGCAAUGAUUAUGCAUAUAAGCAUCACGUCCGUGUCAAGUAGACCGAAACGAUUCUGCAUCUACUACUAUUACUCCACAGAUCGACCGGCUCCUGCGUGCAUCUAGAGUAUUAAGUUCAUGAAGAACAGAGUAACGCAUUAAGUAAGAUGACAUGAUGUAGAGGGAUAAACUCAAGCAAUAUGAUGAAAACCCCAUCUUUUUAUCCUCGAUGGCAACAGUACAAUACAUGCCUUGCUACCCCUACUUUGUCACUGGGUGAGGACACCGCAAGACUAAAUCCAAAACUAAGCACUUCUCCCAUUACAAGAAUUACCAAUCUAGUACCAAACCAAUAACUCGAAGAUACUUGCUAAGAUAUGAAAUCAUGCAUAUAAGAAUUCAGAAGAGUUUCAAAUAAUAUUUAUAGAUAAUCUGAACAUAAACUCACAAUUCAUCGGAUCUCGACAAACAUACGCAAAAGAGUAUUACAUCGGAUAGAUCUACAUGAAGAUCAUGAAGAACAUGGUAUUGAAGAUCAAAGAGAGAGAAGAAGCCCUCUAGCUACUAGCUAUGGACUCCUAGGUCCGUGGUGAACUACUCAUGCAUCAUCGGAGAGGCAAUGGAGUUGAUGUAGAUGAUCUCUGUGAUCAAUUCCCUCUCCGACAGAUUACUGGAAAAGGCUCCCGAAUUGGAUCUCACGGGAAGAGAGGCUCCCGACGGCGGUAAAGUAUUUUCAUUGAUCUUUUUAGCGAUGGGGGAAUAUUUGGGAAUUUAUAGGCCAAAGAAUAGGGUUAGGAGGCCUGCAGGGGACCCAAAAGCCACGGGGCGCGGCCACCCUCUAGGGUGCACCCUGCAGGCUUGUGGCCUCUCGGCAGGUGCCCUACCCCCUACUCCAAAUCUCGUGGGUCUCUUGUGGUCCAAGAAAAAUAUUUCCGGAAAUUUUGUUCCAUUUGGACUCCUUUUAAUAUUCCUUAUAUGCAAUACUCAAAAACAUGGAACAAACAGAAACUAUGACUAGGCUCUAGAUUAAUAGGUUAGUCCCAAAAAUAAUAUAAAAAAACAUAUUAAUGCAUAUAAAACAUCCAAAACAGAUAAUAUAAUAGCAUGAACAAUCAAAAAUUAUAGAUACGUUGGAGACAUAUAAGACAUAAGAAUCAUAUUAGUAUUCAUAGAAGACUCAAAUAUUUAUCGUGAAUAAUCUGAACAUAAAUCCAUAAUUCAUUGGAUCCCAACAAACGCACCGCACAAAGGGAUUACAUCAUAUGGAUCAAAGCGAAGAUUUGAUGAUCAUUGUAUUGAAGAUCAAGAGAGAGAGAGAGAGAGAUUGCCAUCUAGGUACUAGCUAUGGACCCGUAGGUGUGUGGUGAACUACUCACACAUCAUCAUGAGGGCAACAAGGUUGAUGAAGAGGCCCUCCGUGAUCGACCCCCCUCCGGCAGGGUGCCGAAAUGGAGCUCGAGAUGGCCUCCAGUCAUAACACAGACUUGCGGCAGUGUAAAAAGUGUUUCGGGACUACCUCUAGGUUUUUUAGAUCAUUUGAGAAUUUAUAAGCCAAAGAACGAAGGUGGGAGGGCCUCGAGGGGCCCACGAGCCAUCACGGCGCCCCUGGGCGCGUUGGGUUGUCUUGUGGGGCCCUCAGGUGACGUGCAACCUUCUUCCGAUGCUCGUUGGUCUUCUUUAGGUACAGAAAAAAUCUCCAACAAGUUUCAGGUCAAGUGGACUUCGUUUGGUAUGGAAAACUUGAAAAGUGAAAACAUGCGGAAAAUAACAAGUGGCACUAGGCACUUGGUCAAUAAGUUAGUGCUCAAAAAUAAUAUAAAUUGGUUAAUAAAUACCAAAAAUAUGCUACAAGGAUAAUAUCUGAGCAUGGAAAAAUCAAAAAUUAUAUAUACGUUGGAGACGUAUCAUAGUGCUUGUGGGGUGUGUUGCCUCCCGACAAGAUCGGCUCAUUGCCGAGGCGGUUUUGCAACAGCCCUACGCGAUCAUGACCCCAUGCCUAAAAGGUUUGUGAGGCCCUCGUUCUCAGCACACCGUGAGUGUUGAACAUAUGUUGUCUUUUGUACAUGUAUAGUACUAGAGUCUUGUACUUAUACCGUCGUACCUCCUCUCUCCCCUUUGUAUAUUUACAUGUCUCGGGAGACAAGUAGAGACCGGUCCACCAUGUACCUAUAUAUGUGCAUCAUGCACACAAUCAAUGAAUUAUCGAUGCAUGCAAACCCUUCUCUUCAACUAACAUGGUAUCACUUUAGCAUGUCGAUCCUCUCCUUGGUUCCACCCUAAAGAUGUCACCGCCACACCCUACCAUCGACGCCGCCCCUCUCGUGAUGCCGCCGCCGCACCCUACCGUCGACAUCGUCAUAGCCUGCCGCCAUCGCUGCUCCCCUCUUCCACCCCGCAGCCGCCACAUGCAUCAUGCCUCCCCCACUGCCUUCUCUCUCCACCCCGCCACCAAACCCUAACCGCCACCAAAACCCUAGCCGUAGCCGCCACCUCCAUGGAAUCUCCCUCAUCCUCCAUCCCUGGUGGCUCCAACCUGUUUUGUCGGCCUGACACUCCUAGCGAUGCUGACAUCCAUGACCUCAAUAUCCACGUCGCGUCCCCAUCAAACUAGAUCAAUCUAGUUCCUCCUACUUCGCAUGGAAGACCUACUUCAACCUCAUCAUGACAUAUAUUUUUCAUCGAAUGUAAUAUAUAUUUCGCAAGUUAAGUUGUCAACCUAAAAUGACAAGCAUGUCUUAUGAAAUGAGAUGAAGGAAGUACUCCAAACCCCCCUAUAAACCCAUUAUUUUACUUAGUCUUACUAUCACUUUUAUCGUUCCAUUUAAAUUUGAUCAAAACCUUAAAAUCGUCUAUUCCCUCCAUUUCAGUUUAUAGGGCCUGCAGGUAGUUUUAAGCCAUCGAUUUAACUAGCUAAAUAUCAGUUAUAUGUCAGCAAAAAUAUAUAAUUAAAUUCGUAAGUGAAUGUAGUUUUAAACAUAUAAUUUUGAUCAAACGUAACAUAUAUUUAGCUAGUUAAAUUGUCAACCUAAAAUGACACGCAUGUCUUAUAAAAUGAGAUGAAUGAAGUACUCCAAAUCCCCCUCCCCCCCAAAAAAAAAAGAAAAGAAAAACCUCUUAGGGCAUGUGCAAUGGUUGAUAAGAUGGUCUUAUCUUAAGUCUUACAUGUAAUCUAGAGAUGACAAAAAGUGUCUUAUAAUGAGUCAUAUCUUAGCCUAAUCUUCAAUAACUAGCUAAUCCUAAAAACAUGGUGAGACAUAUUGUGCUAAGAGAACACCUCUUGUUCUCUCUUAAAUAAGAGAAGACAAACUUUUUCUUACGAAUCUCUCUCCUCCACCUCAUCAUUUAUCCUACAUGGCACUACUAAGAUAACACCAUUGUACAUGUUUCAAAUCAAUAGUGAUUGUCUUAAUCUGUCGAUGGUUACAGGAGACCGUUUAUACUCUAUGGAGAGACACGACACUUGGAAAGGCAUCAGUUCCAGACAAACGCAUCCGUGCGGGAGGCAACCACCCGACGGUUGGGCAAGGGUAGAUUUACCCCUAAUUAUGAUGUGUAAUUAAUCUUAACACUCCCCUAAUCUAUGCUUGACCAUGUAGAAUCAUUACUCGAUUGUCCGGGUAGUGCCAUCAUCUCAAAAGGAUUCUCCCCCAAUCAGUUCUUCAUAAAAACUUGAUGAUAACCUGUAACAUAAACUCACAAAGAGAUAGCACAAUGUGAUGUCAUUGAACAAGGGUAUCUCAAGAAGUGACACCCCCUGAUGUGUGCAAGUCUCUAAGUCGUCGCAUACUAAUUCCAUGAACAUAUUUUUGGAAUUUUGAGUUUGGUAGAGACUUAGUAAAUAAAUCAGCAAGGUUGUCGCAUGAUUUGACUUGCAAGAUGCUUAUUUCCCCGCUUUUCUGAAGAUUAUGGGGAAAACCCACUUAGGAAAAAUAUGCUUAGUGAUAUUACUCUUGAUGUAUCAUGUUUGCAUCUGGGCAACCACAUGCCGCAUUAUUCUCAUAGAUAAUGGUGGGUGAUUCUAUUGAACCAAUUCCACAUGACUGUUGUAUGUAGUUUAUCAUUCUACGAAGCCAUACACAUUCACAUGAUGCUUCAAAUAAUGAAAUUAUUUCAGAAUGAUUUGUAGAUGUUGCCACCACAGUCUGUUUUGAAGAAUUCCAUGAUAUAGCGGUACCACCAUGUAGGAACACAAAACCGGUCUGUGAUAUGGCAUUAUGGGGAUCGGAUAAAUAGUUGGCAUCUGCAUACCCAAUCAUACCAGAGUCUAGAUUUCACUGGAACUAGAAGAAUAGGCCAAUAUCCUUUGUGCCUUGGAGAUAUAGAAAGAUAUUCUUUACUCCGGACCAAUGACGUUUGGUUGGAGCUGUGUUGUGUCUAGCAAGUAGAUUCACUGCAAAUACAAUAUCAGGUCUUGUGCAAUUUGCAAGAUACAUAAGUGCUCCAACAUCACCGAGGUAUGGAACUUCAGGUCCCAACACCUCUUCUCCAUCAUCCCUUGGUGUGAACGGAUCUUUCUCUACGUCUAGAGAUCGAACCACCAUAGGAGUUUUAGAUGGAUAGGAUUUGUCCAUAUUGAAUUUCUCCAAUAUUUUCUGGAUAUAUGCAGCUUGGUGUACUAUGAUUCCUGAGGGAAGGUGCUCAAGUUGAAUACCUAAGCAAAAUUUGGUUUUACCCAAAUCCUUCCUCUCAAAUUCCAUCUUUAGGUGAUUGUGUGCUUCCUCUAUGUCUAGUGUGCUGCCGAUGAUGUUGAGAUAAUCGACAUACACAGAAAUGAUGCAAAAUCUUUUAGGGGACUUCUUGAUGAAGACACAUGGGCAAUCAUCACUAUUGGAGUAACCUUUCAAAAGAAGGAACUCACUUAGUCGGUUGAAACACAUCUGCCCCGACUCUCUUAAGCCAUAUAAUGACUUAUUCAGCUUUACACAAUACAUGUUGCGUUUUGCACUGUUAUUCGGAACGGAGAUUCCGUCAGGAACCUUCAUAUAUAUGUCCGAAUCUAGUGACACGUAAAGAUAUGCGGUCACGACGUCCAUCAACUGCAUGGAUAGACAAUUUUGCAAUGCCAGUGAUAUAAGACAUCAAAAAGUGGUUCCACUCAUUACUGGAGAGUAUGUUUCAUUUAAAUCGAUGUCGGGUUCCUGCGUGAACCCUUGGGCUACGAGCCUCGCUUUAUAUCUCACCACCUCAUUGUUCUCAUUCCGUUUCUGGAGAAAAAACCCAUUUGAAUCCCGCGGGGAAGACACUAGGAGGUGUAGGUAUUGCUUCAGUGAAUACCUUUCUUUUGUUAAGCGAGGCAAUUUCUGCUUGGAUUGCAUCCUUCCAUUUAGGCCAGUUGGAGCGCCUUUGGCACUCAACUAUAGACCUUGGAUCAUGAUCAGUGAGAACGGUAUUUGCAAUCUUUUCAGCAAAAUAUAUGUCGACAGUCGUAGUCUUACGUUCAAAUGAUUCUCGAGAAUCAACAUAGUUGAUGGAAAUUUCCUACACCCCUAGAGAGUCUUCAUGAUUUCCCAAUACGAUUGAGGCUGGGUGUUCCGAUGUUCGAGCCAGUUUGUGCACACUAGAGCUGGGUUGUGGAGGUUUCCAUUGCACUGGGUGUAUACUACCAAUGAGGUGUUUGUCAAUGUUGAGUUGAUUUGCAUUUAGCGACUCCGAGGUUUUUCUCCUCGAUUUUCUUUCCUACUUGUUAGAAAUUGCUCCUCGUCAGAUGUCGUAAUACUACUCCUCUUUUUAGGAACGAGGAGUUGAGUAGUUUUGAUUGGUACCUCCACUCUUUCUGGCGCGUUACUCGCCGGAUUUAAGGAUUUUGUAACACCUUUCAGAUCAGUAAAUGAAUCUGGCAGAUUAUUUGCAAGAUGUUGCAAAUUAAUGAUCUUCCGAACUUGAAGUUUGGUCUCAUGGGUACGUGGAUCAGAGGAUGAAAUGGCAUGAGCAUUCCAAUCAAUUUUCGGGCAUUCUUUCUGGUACUUGAAAUCUCCCCCUAAUGACGGAAAAUGUUCCUCAUUGAAUAUGCAAUCAGUGUGACGGGCUGUGAACAGAUCCCCAUUAAGGGGUUCCAGGUACUUAUUAAUUGACGGUGAUUUGUACCCCACAUAGAUUCCCAACUUUCUGUGUGGGCCCAUAGAUGUCCGCUGUGGUGGUGAGAUCGGGAUGUAUGCAUCACAUCCGAACUUACGCAGAUGGGAAAUGCUAGGAGGAUUUCCACGUACCAAUCCAGAGGGGAGGAAGUGUGAUAUGCAGUUGGCCUUGAUUGUAUCAAGUUAGCAGCGUGUAAAACAGCGUGACCCCAACAAGAGGUUGGCAAGUUGCAAUUCGUCAACAAAGGUCUUGUAACGAUUUUAAUACUCUUGAUCAAUGCUUCAGCCAAUCCAUUUUGUGUAUGGACAUAUGGAAUAGAGUGCUGAACUUCAAUCCCCAAAGCCAUGCAAUAAUCAUUGAAAGCACACGAGGAGAAUUAUGCAACGUUGUCCAUUCGCAUUGACUUAAUUCAACUUUGAGGAUAAUGGGCUUGAACUAAAUGACUUGCCUCAUUAUCUUGGCAAAUGCAUGGUUCCGUGUGGUAGAAGACACACGUGUGACCAUCAUGUAGAUGCGUCAAUCAGAACAAUGAAAUACCUGAAGGGUCUAGAUAAUGGCUGAACGGGACCACAAAUGUCUCCUUGAAUACAUUCAAGGAACUGAAGUGGUUCAGCUUGUAUUUUGAGAUGUGAGUGCCUCAAAAUUAGCUUUCCCGUGGCACAAGAUGUGCACACAAAAUGAGAAGAUUGAGGAAAUUUUGACUCAAUCAAAUUAUGACCAAUGGAAUUGCUAGUAAUUUUUCGCAUGUUCGGGAUGGUCGAGGCGAUCAUGCCAGGUUUGUAAUGUGUCAACAUUCUGAAAAAUUACUUUGUAUGCAACAUGUUCCACGGGUUUGAUGUACGUAUAGUACAAACCAUACGAUAGAGAAGGAAUUUUCUCAUGUACUCCCUUUGUAAACUAAUACCAGCACAAUGCCCGUGCGUUGCUACGAAACUAUAAAAUACGAGGAGUUAGGUCACUGGCUUAGGAAAUCGUCAAAAUACGGUGGUGCCAUGUGAAAUUUGCUCGUGGUUCACUAUUAAAAAAGAUAAAAAAUACCACAAAAGAUUACGCGUCAGGCAUUGAAUCUUAAGUGACCAUGGUCCUUUACAAACACAACAUUUCGUAUUUUGAAACAUAUGAGAAUAGACAAUGGUACUGCACAAGGUCAUGGAUCAGGUAGGAGGAUAAGGUCUAUCAUCGUUUUCGAAUUACAAUCUGUUCACUCUCUUGUUCUGUGAUAUAAAACUAAAAUAACUUGGCUGGGAAAAAAGAAAAAGAAAAAUAAGAGCAUUAUAUUGAGUUGAAGUCGCAUUUCUGCAUUUGUUAUUUGUGCCCAAGUGUUAGUCUCACAUGAAUAGUAGUGUAUUGUUUAUUUGUGUUUGGUCCCACAUGUGAGCACAAAUACAUUUGUUUAUUUAUGUUCAUGGAAGGUCGCUAUUCUCAAUAUGGGUAGGGGUGCAUUUGUUUAUUGUGAAGGUUGUUGGUCCCAUAUGUGAACUCACCACCAACUCCAACCUUUAUAAGUAGGAAAUAUAAAAGUGUUUAGAUCACUAUUUUAAUGAUCUAAACGCUCCUAUAUUAGUUUACGGAGGGAGUACCUUUUUUUCCAUAUCAGUGAUCUUUAGUAAAGAGUAGAUACUCCUCUUUGUUUACUUCAUGGGUUUCAAUAUGAAAACCAAUCUUACGGAUAUCUCGAUAACUCAUCAGGGUACGUGAGGAGUCGGGAUACAAUAAAGCAUCCUCGAUCGUCACUUGUGUAACACUAGGGAGGGUGAAUAUGGCACGUCCAGUACCAACAAUCACUGUAUCGCGUCCAUCGAUAGUUAGAAUAUCUUCAUUCAUUUUUUUCAGAGUUUGAAAAAUAUUUUAUCUCCCUCGCUCUGGAGUUUGUGGCACCACUGUACACAAGGCAUAAUUCCUCUUCCAUUGGACUGUUCAUGUAGAAAGCGGCGGCGAGCGCUUUUCCUCUUCUCUCCUUCUCCGUUGCUCUUUUGCUCUUUCUAACACACAGUGCUGAUAACGUGAUUCAAAUCGAUAGUGAUUGUCUUAAUCCGUCGAUGAUUACAAGAGACCAUUUAUACUCUCUAGAGAGACACGACGCUUGGAAAGACAUCGGUUUGAGACAGACGCGUCCGCGCGGGAGGCACGGCGGUUGGGCAAAGGGAGAUUUACCCUAAUUACAAUGUGUAAUUAAUCUUAACAGUACAUGAUCUUAUAAACUUUUCUCUAAAAACAGUCGUCAAAACGCGUUAAACGCCCAUAGGCGGGCCAGCUGUCAGCCUGUCACCUCCGGACCCGCUAACCCGCGACUCGCCCCGAUAAAUAGCCCUCCACCCCUACGCCUUUCCCCACUACUACCAGCAAAGAUCUUCUGAUCUUCUCCUCCCUCUCUUAUUCUACCCAUCGUCGCCGCCGUCACAGAUCACACCUCUCCACCACCACCUCGUACGUCGCUAGUCGCUAUCACCAACCGAAGCAAUGGCCGCCUCCACCAUCGCGUCCAAGGCCCUGACCGUCCUCGCCUUCCUGUCGGUCGCCGCCUUCUCCGUCGUCUCCGCCCAGGACGCCCCGGCGCCCAGCCCCGUGUCCACAGCCGGCGUCGCGGCACCGUCCCUCGCAGCUGCGCUUGUCGCCUCCGGUGCCGCCUUCGUCUUCGCCGCCGUCCGCCACUGAAGCGACUGCCUCUAUCCUCUCCCGUCGAUGGCUCCGCUACAUAGUAGUACCGCCACAUAGUAGAUCCAUUUAUUUAUGUUAGCGAUUUGUUCGUUUGUAUCACUUUUGCCCAGAUCUGCGACUGUCUGUCACACGACAAUGGUGGUUUUAUCUCCUUCAGCGAUUGUACCCGUGUGCUUGUAGAUACUGCUAGUACUAUUUAUCCGGUUUGAUCUACUGGUACAAUCGCCCCAUUUAGUUUUGAUGAUGCUUGUUGUCUCCCCUGUUUUUUCGUGCUUGCGUUUAGUCUCGCGGAGUAAUUCUAUGAAAUCGUCAGUUGUGAUUCCUAAAUUUAGCAGAAUCGCGUCAUGUAGGUCAUAUAUGUUUGUAUUUUACUUGCUCUUCUUGGUGCACUUGAAGACGAUACCCAAGAUUUACUAUGACGUGCAGUAGGCGAAAACCUAUUACUAUUCCGUUCCACAAUAUAGGAAGCUGUUUUAGUUUUACCUUGCAAAAUCGUCCCAGGGGGAAUAUAGAUUUUUAAUUUAACAGCCCUUUGAAUUGGUACGCCACUUGGUUGUUCACAUCAGAACACUUGCAACGAAAAAAUAACUCCACAUAUUUGAGUAAAAACAGCCGGACUCGCCCAAGUUUUGUUGGGCAAACAUGCUUCUCGUAUCAAACCCUUGAAUUCAUGCAUACUGAUAAUAUAGCUUAAAUUCAUAUCAAUUCAACAAUACAACAAAGCAAAAAUAAAUAACAAUUCAACUAAUCAAACAUGUCAAAUAGCAUAAAUUCAUAUCAAUACAACAAAGCAACAAUAAAUCAUAAUUCAACAAAUCAAACAUGUCAAAAUAAAACUCAAUGUUCAAGCAGCGCCCGAGGCGUUCGCUGCUUCGAUGGUCCCUCCCCCCUCAUACUCCUUGUGUGGGUUGAUCUUCAUGCAAGUUGAAACCUUUCGUUCUCAAACUCUAUUCCAAUAGUCCGGGCCUUCUAGAGCUAUCAUUUGACACAUGCAUGCCUCAUGCUUCUUCAAGUCUGUCUUCUUCCUCUCAAUUUGCAACGGAAGGGAAAUAUCCACGUCGAUGACGAUCACCUUCUUAAGGCAACGUUCUCCACGAUGGAGUUGAUUGCCAUGGAUGGGCCAGGAACACUUUGUCAAGGCAUCAUACAUGCCGACAGUGGAGGAUGGGACGGGGCUACUCGACAACAAUAUCUAUGGCGACGACACGAAUGAAGGAGUAAGGGUGGAGGACGACGAUGGCUCGGGAGAAGGACGCUCGAUUUGGUGGAACUUGGGGUGGGUCUGAUCUAUGUGCUACUACCUGGUGGAUACCCCCGAUACUGCUACAUGUCCCCUUGUUGGAUCACAAUUUACCACAAUGUAGGUAGCACCUAUAUCAUAGUUGUAUUCAGUGCCCCAGUUUCACUACCCCAGCAAAAUGCCUCCUUUUAUAGCCCUAAAUGGUCCCAUGGGAGCUUGUUUGAGCCAAAAGGCCUCAUUAUACAUAACACCUUUUUGGUUACCAAAAUCUGAUGUAACAUUAACUUCUCUCUCUCAAUUACUUCCAUUGUCAUUGCCUUUUCAAACUCUCAUUUGGAUACGUCUCUUGCAUAUCCAAUUCUAUUUUCUCCCUCUCCAUGUUCAACCUCUUCCGGGCAAACCUCAUCUUCUCCCUUUGCACAUAUAUGAAAAUAUUGUACCUCUCCUUCACCUCCUUGAUGGGAAAAAAAUGCAUGUCCAUGUGGUAGACAAUUUGCCUGUUGCGCCAUCACACAUGAUCCUAUCCUUCUUCCACUUGUUUCCCGCCACCCAUGGUUUUUCUUUGGCACGAUAGCUUGUAUGUGCACCACGGUGUAGCUGAUCAUCAUGGUCAGGAUCCACACGAAUUCCAUCGAGGCAUCAUCCAUGCCGAUGGUGAGAGACAAGGUUGUCGGCAAUUACAUCUACGACAACGAGCGAGGACGACAACACGAACGGGAAGCAAAGGUGUAGGUGCGUUGGGGCACGAACGCGGAAGGAGUAGACACCCCCCUCGCGUCGCCCCCUCGGGCGCCUCGGGGGCGACUAGGGUUCAGCAGUCGCUGCCACUCCUCCAGCUCCCCCUCCCCUCGUCGCCACCGAAGACGACCGUCGGUUCGCUAGCGCGGGCACCGGUGAAGGUGGCGGCGGGGAUCUCGGUGCUUCGUUCCCCAUCAGAGGUCUGUGGUGUCUAGGGCGGCGGCCCUACCCAGUGAGGCGGCGGCGUCGGGCGGACGACGACGCUCGUAGGUGGAUGCUGGCCAGCGUGCAAGGCCGUGUGGGCGGUGGGCCGUAGGAGGUGUUCAGGCAUGGUACAGAGUCCCUCUGCGUCAGAUAUGGAGGUGCGCAUCCCCUCUCCUCCGUUCCCUCCCCCUCGCCUUGCCUAUGGUUGCGACUCGGUUGCUUGGUCUGGCUCUGGUGUCGUUUGGUGGAGCAGCUUGGGGUCCGGGGGAAACCCUGGCCAGUUUGGUUGGCCCGAUGGAGGCAACGCCCAAUGGCGUCGCUUUCGUUCAUGGGGGCGUUGUCGAGGCUCCCCAACUCUCCACCCCAACCCUUGCCCGGGUGAAAACCGUCAAUCUGCUUGGAUUUGGUGACGGUGGUGUCGUGUGCAUCAUGACCUCCCCCGAGGCAUCGUCAGUGGGCAGGUGCUCGGAUGGGAGGAUUUGCAGGUGACGGUGUGGCUGCUUGUGUCCGUGCUUGUGCAUCUGGCACUCACGUCUCUUCAGGUUGGGCCUCUCCACUGGCGGUAGGUGUUACUCAGUUCCGACGGUGCGGCGUCUCGAUCCUGACGGAAGGGGAUAGGGUUCCCCUUCCCGACGGCGGUGACACGACGCUCAUUGGAGACACCCAAGCUUCACUACGGUCGUGCUCUGCUUCCCUUGCCUCUUGCACAAGUACAGUUCCUGCUGCCUCCUCUUCGACGUUCGAUUCAUGAAGCUCUCCAUCUCCAACUAGUUAGGCGGGAAUCGUGGCGGUGCUGCGGGCAUGGCAUUUCCCAAUUUGAGGUGGUCACCCUAGGUUCAUCUGUCGUUGCGAGGGGCACACUCUUCUAGCUCUUGGGGGAGCUUUUUGGAAUCCCGACGGUACGACACCUAUGAGCCAUGGUGAGGGGGUAGGGUCCCUCUUCGGUGACAGAGAAGGAAGGUUGUGUUCUCCCCUCGUCCCAUAGGUGUUGGUAGAGCAAGGUUUAGUUUGAUGGUGGCAAUGGCCUGCUCUGCUUCUUCGUCCUUUAUUCUGAUGAUCCUAGUGUGGAGUGCUCGACCUCUAGCAAGUUGUAAUCUUCAUUUUCAUUUCUUUAGAUGCUUCUAGAGGCUGGUGUCUGGGUAAUCGGGUUUGCUUUUCAGCGUGCCCCAUUGUCCCAAUUUAACCGUUGUAAUCUGGAUGUGUGUCGUAAUUCCUGUCUGGUUAAUGGCUUUGAAUUCGCGAGCCUUAGUUCCAAAAAAGCACGAAAGGAAGCCGAUUUGGGAUGAGUCCGGUAUGUCAGAUCUGGACAGACAUGUUUGGACGUUCCCCAUAUCCCCCACCCCCAAAAUCCCAUGUGGACGGUAAGUCACGGCAUUUGGACCGAGUUUGUCAAGUCCGAUUGGUGGCAAUUUUUGGUCGGAACAGACCACCCGCACGUUUGGGGCGAAUACGGGAACUCCUGUUUGUAGAUGCACUAAUAUGCAGUUUACUCUUUGUGUAACAAUCGUGAAAGAAAAUAAAUCAAAUCGGUCGUGACAAGGUCGCAUAUACACACCAAUCAUCAGCAUUCAUGUGUUUAUGGGUAGUGAAAGAAAGAAAAAUGCUAUGGUCCAAACGAAAGUGCCGGUUCCAAACGACAUUGGAUCUUGGUAUUUCGUAGUGCUUGAUAGCGAAUCCUAAUUGGACUCGUGGCCGCACCAAAGCAGCAGGAUGAAGCAGCUGCAUGCUUUGUCGACACCUCACCGCCGGUACUACAUCCACAAAUGUGAUGUGACAAGAUUAGAGCAUCUCCAUCGGCGCUCCAAUAGGUCCAAGACUAUUUUUUGUCGCCCGUGCAAAAGAAAGGUCCAGCCAUGCCCCAAGGAACUCCUUUUUCAUCGAUGAGGACCGAAAUUGGUCCCGACGGUCUCAGUCUGAACCCAGCGCGCUUGAGGGGCGCCCGAGAGUGUCGUGGGAACGCUUUUGGCGCAAAACGGCGCAAUAUGGGUGUGAACCCGCCGAGUCAGCGAGUAGGCGCGUUCGUCGUCCUCAUCGUCUCGUUUCUCACGGAAUUCAAUGCGAAGGCUGUGUCGCCGGCCAACCUUCCAUUGGCGGCGCAGUGAAGGCGCGAUGACGCACGUCCCGUCCACUCCUGCCACGCGUUCACACGGCGCCGUCCUGCGUGCCUCCUUCCCGUGACUAUCUAAGCCGCCCCUCCCCUUGCCGGUGGCCACACACCUCUCUCGCCAGACUCUUGCCGCCGAUGCCCUCUCCUCUUUUCACCCCUUUCAUCACCGGCGCCUUCUCUUCCUCUCUCCAAUGGCUGAGCGCUACCCCAGCGACGGAGCGACAACCAACGGCUUCGAUUGCCACCACCUGCACGGGUCCGAGGCCCGACUCCUUUACGAGGCGGACUACCCGGUGCCACCGGACAUGCGGGUGCCAGGCUCUUAGAGGCUGAGCGCCGGCGGUGUCCUGGUGCCACCGCUACCCUCUAGAGCUGACCGACGCGCGGAGAUCGCGCGCAUCCGGUCGUCGCUGCGAGAGAGCUCGCGAAACUUGUUGAGGUACGCCCCCGACAGCAACACGUUGUGGACGACGUACUUUGAAAGCCGUCACACCGACCAGCUCGCCGCCACCAAUGGAGACGAACCCCGCAGCAGCUAUAACUACGCGGGGCGCGCCUAUGGUGGGGCGUCCCUGGUCGCAUGUUGGAGGCCGUCGUCGAGCACAUCGAGGGCGGAAACUCGCUACUAUACGAGUACCCACGAUUGCGACAUUUCUUGGACGCCGAGGCGGAUGGAGACGGUGUCUUCCUCAUCCGGCUCCCGCUCCUGCUCCUCCGGGUCGCCGACGCUCCUCCCCGUCAAAUCGGAGCUGCAUGAGACGUGAUGGCCCACAAGCGUAUAGGAUCGCAGCAAUUUUCGAGGGUAGAGUAUUCAAACCAAAUUUAUUGAUUUGCCAAGACGGGAAGCAAAAGAAUAUUCUCUAGUAUUAGCAGCUGAAUGUGUCAGAUUCAACCACACCUGGAAGAUUAGUGUCUGCAAGCAAAGUAUCAGUAGCAAGGUAGUAUGAUAGCAACGGUGCCAGAAAGGAUCUGUUCACAAGGCAGACUAUUCCUAACUGUUGUAUCAAUGGCGCCAACACGUUGACGGGGGAUUAUUCUUGAGAAGAAUGCUUCCCCGGCUACGGCUCCAACAAAGUCUUGCAACAAGUAACAACGGAGUAGCAAGGAACAGCAGUAGUAGCAGCAGCAAAGUAACAGCAGUAGAAACAGUAGCAGCAAAGUGACAGCAGCAGCAAAGUGGCCCAAUCCCUUUUGUAGCAAGGGACAAGCCUAGGCAAAGUAACGUAGCGAGAACCAGUAGUAAAAGACUCGUAGGCAGUGGACCAGUGAUGGAUGAGUAUGGCGGAUGUGAUUCAUCAUGUAACAACUAUAACACGGAGAGAUAUGUAACUAGCUCCCGUUCGUCAAUCUAAUGUAGGCAUGUAUUCCGUAUGUAGUCAUAUGUGCUUAGGGAAAAUAACUUGCAUGACAUCUAUUGUCCAUCCCUCCCGUGGCAGCGGGGUCCUAAUGGAAACUACGGGAUGUUAAGGUUCUCCUUUUAAUAAAGAACCGGACCAACGCAUUAACACGCGGUGAAUACAUGAACUCCUCAUACUAUGGUCAACUCCGGGAGUGGUUCUGGCUAUUGUCACUCCGGGGUUGCCGGGUCAUAACACAUAGUAGGUGACUACAACUUGCAAGAUAGGAUCUAAAACACACAUAUAUUGGCGACAACAUAAUAGGUUCAGAUCUGAAAUCAUGGCACUCGGGCCCUAGUGACAAGAAUUAAGCAUAGCCAAGUAGUAGCAACAUCAAUCUAGAACAUAGUGGAUACUAGGGAUCAAUCCCCGUCAAGAACUAACUCGAUUACAUGAUAGAUCUUAUCCAAAUCAUCACCGUCCAGCAAGCCUGAGAUGAGAUUACUCACGAACGAUGAAGAGCAUCAUGGAAUUGUCGACGGAGAAAGGUUGAUGAUGACGAUGGCGACGAUUUCCCCUCUCCGGAGCCCGAAACGGACUCCAGAUCUGCCUUCCAGAUGAAGAACAGGAUGUGGCGGCGCCUCCGUAUCGCAAAACGCGAUGAAACCUUCUCUCUGAUUUUUUUCCAGGCGAAACGGAAGAUAUAGAGAUGAGAUUGGGGGCGGUGGUGCCACGUGGGCCCCACAAGCCUGCACGGCGCGACCAUAGGGGGUGGCCGCGGCCUGUGGGCUUGUGGCCCACUGGCACGCCCCCUAUUUUUCUUCUAUUCUAGAAAAAAUCUCCGUAAAUUUUCAAGAUGUUCCGAGAACUUUUAUUUCUGCACAAAAACAUCACCAUGGCAAUUCUGCUGAAAACAACGUCAGUCCGGGUUAGUUCCAUUCAAAUCAUGCAAAUUAGAGUCCAAAACAAGGGCAAAAGAGUUCGAAAAAGUAGAUACAACGGAGACGUAUCAACUCGCCCAAGCUUAAAGCCUUGCUUGUCCUCAAGCAACUCAAUUGACAAACUGAGAGAGACAAAAGUAAAACUUUGACGAACUAUGUUUGAUCUUGUUGUUGCAACUAUGUCUAACUCACAACCAGAAUUUCAGCAACAUCACAAGCAAACCACAUAAGAAAAUGACAUCUAGGUCUCACGGUAAACUCAUAUCAAUGGCAUAAUCAACUAGCGAGCAAAUAAUAAUAAGCCUCAACUAUCAACACUUCAAUCAAAACAACAUGAAGCAGUACGAAUAGAUGGUACCUCGCUAGCUCUUUCUGAGACCGCAAAACAUAAAUGCAGAGCACCUUCAAAGACCAAGGGCUGACUAAACAUUGUAAUUCAUGGCAAUGAAGAUCCAGUCAUAGUCAUACUCAACAAAGUUAAAAGCAAAGCAUAAAAAUGAGAGAGGUGCUCUCUAAUUGUUGCUUUUGUAAAAGGAGGAUGACUCAACAGGAACAUAAAUAGAUAGGUCCUUCACAGAGGGAAGCAUUGAUUUGCAGAGGUGCCAGAGUUCAAGCUUUUAAAACAGAGAUAAUAAUUUUGGGUGGCAUGCUUUCAUUGUCAAUGCAAUGACUAAGAGUUCUCAACAUCUUCCACGCUACACAUGCUAUAGGCGGUUCCCAAACAGAAAAGUAAAGUUUUGACUCCCACACCACCAAUCAAUCACACUCCACGGCUAGCCGAAUCCUCGGGUACCGUCCAUACCAACAUCAAUCCUGGGCGAGUUUUGUUUGCAAUUAUCUUUUUGAUUUGAGCAUGGAACUGGGAAUUCCAAUUACCGGCCCCUUUCUCGUGAAUGAUAGUGAAUAAACACAUAUCGAGGAUAACACGCCUAGCAUGGAAGAUACCAAUAGCCCCCUGUCACCACAUGAGCGGUUCGGGCAUGCAGAACAGAUUAUUUCUUGAAGAUUUAGAGAGUGGCACACGCAAAUUUACUUGGAAUGGCAGGUAGAUACCGCACAUAGGUAGGUAUGGUGGACUCAUAUGGAACAACUUUGGGUUUAUAGGAGGUGGAUGCACAAACAGUAUUCCCGCUUAGUACAAGUAAAGGCUAGCAAAAGACUGGGAAGCGACCAACUAGAGAGCGACAACAUUCAUCAAAAUGCAUUGAGAUGAACUAACAUUGAGUGCAAGCAUGAGUAGGACAUAAACCACCAUCAACAUGAACAUCAUAGAGGCUAUGUUGAUUUUGUUUCAACUACAUGCAUUAACAUGCGCCAAGUCAAGUCACUUGAAUCAUUCAAAGGAGGAUACCAUCCUAUCAUACUACAUCAUAGUCAUCUCAACAUUCAAGUUGGCAACCAAGGCAAACCAUUAUAAGCUCCUAGCUAAAUAAGCAUGGCAUAAGCAACUAUGAUCUCUAAGUUGUCAUUGCAAACAUGUUUCUCUCACAACAAAGCUGAAUCAGGCAUGAUGAGCUAGUCAUAUUUACGAAAACAAAA
RNAcentral lists this long non-coding RNA (29572 nucleotides) under Hordeum vulgare. Its description in RNAcentral is "long non-coding RNA (HVUL_LNC007518)". Lineage: Eukaryota; Viridiplantae; Streptophyta; Magnoliopsida; Poales; Poaceae. The record is from RNAcentral.